UCAAGCGAACAAGGGCGCAGGGCGAAUGCCUUGGCACUGGGAGCCGAUGAAAGACGUGAUAAGCUGCGAUAAGCUUCGGGGAGCUGCAAAUAAGCAUUGAUCCGGAGAUUUCUGAAUGAGGAAACUCACCUGGGUUCAUACUCAGGUACGUUAUACUGAACUUAAAAAUAGGUAUAUCGAGGGAACCGCCUGAACUGAAACAUCUAAGUAGGGCGAGGAAGAGACAUCAAACGAGAUUCCGUAAGUAGUGGCGAGCGAACGCGGAAGAGGGCAAACCGGAAGUAGAAAUACUUCCGGGGUACGGACCGCAUUUAGGACUUAAGUUGUUAACCGAACGGCAUGGGAAGGCCGGUCAGAGAGUGUGAGAACCACGUAGGUGAAAACGGAGAGAGCUGCGCAGGAUCCAGAGUACGGCCAGACACGUGAAACCUGGUCGGAAUACGGGGGGACCACCCUCCAACCCUAAAUACUACCCAGUGACCGAUAGCGUAUAGUACUGUGAAGGAAAGGUGAAAAGCACCCCGGGAGGGGAGUGAAAAAGAACCUGAAACCCUGUGCCUACAAGCACCUAGAGCACGUCAAAGUGUGAUAGGGUACUUUUUGUAGAACGGUCCGGCGAGCGAUUGUAUGCAGCAAGGUUAAGGACUUAAGGUCUGGAGCCGAAGCGAAAGCGAGUUUGAAAAGGGCGUUAAGUUGCAUACAAUGGGCCCGAAACCGGGUGACCUACCCAUGGUCAGGUUGAAGUGGAAGUAAAAUUCCAUGGAGGACCGAACCGACCUCCGUUGAAAAGGCGGCGGAUGAACUGUGGGUAGCGGAGAAAUUCCAAUCGAACCCGGAGAUAGCUGGUUCUCCCCGAAAUAGUUUUAGGACUAGCCUCAAGUUAGAUACCUGGAGGUAAAGCACUGAAUAGCCUAGCGGCCGAGAGGUUAGCGAAGCUUAUCAAACUCAGAAUGCCAGAGUAUUGAUGCUUGGGAGUCAGACAGUGUCAGAUAAAUGUCAUUGUCAAAAGGGAAACAGCCCAGAUCUACAGCUAAGGUCCCAAAGUCAGGUUAAGUGGAAAACGAUGUGAAGAUACGUAGACAACCAGGAUGUUGGCUCAGAAGCAGCCACACAUUCAAAGAGUGCGUAAUAGCUCACUGGUCGAGCGUCUUUGCGCGGAGAAUUUAACGGGGCUAAACCUGACACCGAAGCUUAGGCAAUACAGCAAUGUAUUGGGUAGGGGAGCGUUGUAUACGCGGUGAAACAGUAGCGCAAGCGGCUGUGGAGUGUAUAGAAGUGAGAAUGCCGGAAUGAGUAGCGCGAAUGCAGUGAGAAUCUGCAUGGCCGAAAGCCUCAGGUUUCUGGAGGAAGGUUCGUCCGCUCCAGGUUAGUCGGGAGCUAAGGUGAGGCCUAACGGCGUAGCCGAUGCACAGACGGUAGAGAUUCCGUCACCACCAAAAGAGUUAAGCACAGGGACACAUUUGAAGUCUCGGAGCCGGGUGUUGGUUCCGGUAGCGAUCGAGGGAAGUUAGUACCGAAGUCCGGGAUGGAAGAUGGCGAGAAAAGCUGUGUGUAUUUCUGCGGUGCCCGUACCGCAAACCGACACAGGUAGGUAGGAAGAAGAUUCUAAGGCCAACGGGAGAAGGGUUGUUAAGGAACUCGGCAAAUUGACCCCGUAACUUCGGGAGAAGGGGUGCUCCAGAGAUGGAGCCGCAGAGAAUCGGCCCAAGCAACUGUUUACCAAAAACACAGGUUUGUGCUAAAUCGAAAGAUGACGUAUACGAGCUGACGCCUGCCCGGUGCUGGAAGGUUAAGAGGAGAUGUGCAAGCAUUGAAUCGAAGCCCCAGUGAACGGCGGCCGUAACUAUAACGGUCCUAAGGUAGCGAAAUUCCUUGUCAGGU
Molecule: ribosomal RNA, 1881 nt
Filed under: human gut metagenome
Description: bacterial LSU rRNA
Rfam family: Bacterial large subunit ribosomal RNA
Source: RNAcentral